GUGGUUAUGACUCAGUGGUAGAGCACUCCCCUAGCAUGGGUGAAGCACUGGGUUCCAUCCUCAGCACCACA
This 71-nucleotide transfer RNA is filed under the name Marmota monax (woodchuck). Its description in RNAcentral is "tRNA.Ala". The record is from RNAcentral. Lineage: Eukaryota; Metazoa; Chordata; Mammalia; Rodentia; Sciuridae.